This 347-nucleotide ribosomal RNA is filed under the name uncultured fungus. RNAcentral describes it as "SSU rRNA". It matches the Rfam family "Eukaryotic small subunit ribosomal RNA", at positions 20 to 370 of the family's 1831-position model. The record is from RNAcentral. Lineage: Eukaryota; Fungi.
GUAGUCAUAUGCUUGUCUCAAAGAUUAAGCCAUGCAUGUCUAAGUAUAAGCAAUUUGUACGGUGAAACUGCGAAUGGCUCAUUAAAUCAGUUAUCGUUUAUUUGAUGGUACCUUACUACAUGGAUACCUGUGGUAAUUCUAGAGCUAAUACAUGCUUAAAACUCCAACUUCGGAAGGAGUGUAUUUAUUAGAUAAAAAACCAAUGCCCUCCGGGGCUUCUUGGUGAAUCAUAAUAACUUAACGAAUCGCAUGGCCUUGCGCCGGCGAUGGUUCAUUCAAAUUUCUGCCCUAUCAACUUUCGAUGGUAGGAUAGUGGCCUACCAUGGUGGCAACGGGUAACGGGGAAU